CAAUAGCGUAUAUUAAAGUUGUUGCAGUUAAAAAGCUCGUAGUUGAAUUUCGAACCGCACAGGACGUCCGCCAAGUGCGCGACGGACUGCCGCGUUUCAUUCUGGGCGGCCUCGCCUAACGGCGGUGCGCUUGCCCUCGUUUACUGUGAGAAAAUCCAAACGCUUCAAGUAGGCACACCGCUUGGAGGUCUUAGCAUGGAAUAAUGAGAUAGGACUCUGUCGCUAUUUUGUUGGUUGCGCUUCAGGGUAAUGAUUAACAGGGACAGUUGGGGGCAUUCAUAUUCAAUUGUCAGAGGUGAAAUUCUUGGAUUUAUUGAAGAUGAACUACUGCGAAAGCAUUUGCCAAGGAUGUUUUCAUUAA
Molecule: ribosomal RNA, 361 nt
Filed under: uncultured eukaryote
Lineage: Eukaryota
Description: partial 18S ribosomal RNA
Rfam family: Eukaryotic small subunit ribosomal RNA
Source: RNAcentral